GACGAACGCUGGCGGCGUGCUUAACACAUGCAAGUCGAGCGGUAAGGCCCUUUCGGGGAUACACGAGCGGCGAACGGGUGAGUAACACGUGGGUGACCUGCCCUCAGCUCUGGGAUAAGCCUGGGAAACUGGGUCUAAUACCGGAUAUGACCUUGCCUCGCAUGGGGUGGGGUGGAAAGUCCUGGGCUUUGUUGUCUGGGUUCGGUUGGGGAUGGGCCCGCGGCCUAUCAGCUUGUUGGUGGGGUGAUGGCCUACCAAGGCGA
RNAcentral lists this ribosomal RNA (263 nucleotides) under uncultured Actinomycetes bacterium. RNAcentral's name for it is "uncultured actinobacterium partial 16S ribosomal RNA". It matches the Rfam family "Bacterial small subunit ribosomal RNA", at positions 28 to 276 of the family's 1533-position model. The record is from RNAcentral. Lineage: Bacteria; Bacillati; Actinomycetota; Actinomycetes.